Molecule: non-coding RNA, 30 nt
Filed under: Homo sapiens (human)
Lineage: Eukaryota; Metazoa; Chordata; Mammalia; Primates; Hominidae
Source: RNAcentral
ACCACCAUCACCAGCAUGGAGAGCAGCCGU